RNAcentral lists this long non-coding RNA (246 nucleotides) under Setaria viridis. RNAcentral's name for it is "long non-coding RNA (SVIR_LNC010468)". The record is from RNAcentral. Lineage: Eukaryota; Viridiplantae; Streptophyta; Magnoliopsida; Poales; Poaceae.
GGAAUAGUGGGAGUAGGAGGUAAAAGAAAUCUGCUCGCAUAACUGGUAUCAUCUCAAUCCUUUUCAGUCCGUGGAUCCUAGGUACAUAGGAGAAAACUUGGAGAACAGAGAAAUACGAGUCUCUUGAAGUUGUCUAAAAAGCACAGUUUUAGUCCGUCCCAGCUAGUGCUAUCUUGGGUCCGUAAUCAAGGAGAUGGCGCUGUUCCAAUCCCUGGAACCACUGUUGUGAAUUUUACAAGGACAUUU